RNAcentral lists this long non-coding RNA (1327 nucleotides) under Carassius auratus (goldfish). RNAcentral describes it as "lncRNA (ENSCARG00000018667.1)". The record is from RNAcentral. Lineage: Eukaryota; Metazoa; Chordata; Actinopteri; Cypriniformes; Cyprinidae.
AUGCCUCUUUUCUCUGGCCCAGGCUUUGUGAAGGAGAAAGGAAGAGGCAUGCUAUUUUACACAGGUACGGUACACUGUGGUGUCCCAACAUGCUAUUGUUUUUACUGUGAGGACCAUUAGAUGUUAGAUCAGCUAUUACCUAACAAAAUUAUCCUGACCAUAAUGAUUAUAUCCUUUUAUCUAAGGUAAUAUGUUGGUUAUAUAUAUAUAUUUUAACAAGAACAAAUUAACUUUUACUGGUUUAUUGAUUUACUUGACAAAAUAAUAUUUUGAACGAUUUCAUCUUUUUAGUUUCUUAUUUAAUAAUGAAUGUGAAUUUUUAAAAUACAUUUACAAUAAGUAAUAUUUUAUAGCUAGUUUAUAAUAUAAAUACUGUAUUACUUUGGAUUUUGGCCUGUGGUAAGUCAUGACCAUAAUGAAUAUAAUUAUCCACUAAUAGUAACAUUUUUUUUUUUUUUACUUUGUAAUUUUAUUAGUUUAUUGCUUAAAUUGCUGACUAAAUUUUUUUAAAAUGUAUACUGACACACACAUAUACAUACAUAAAACAACAUGCAUUUUUUGUAAUAUUUUUUUUCUUGGAUAUAUGUGAUAUUCAAAAUUAUAAUAUAAUAUAAUAUAAUAUAAUAUAAUAUAAGAUAAUAAUAAUAAUAAAUGAAUAGUCAAAUAAAAUACAUGAAUAAGAAUGUAGAAAAUUAAAGCAGAGAUCUCUGAAAACAACACUAAAAGGCAACUGUGAAAUAAGACCCAGCCAUUUACUUCAUCCAGUUUCUUGCAAUAAAAGCUCAUACAUUUACAAAAUUGCUCUGUGCAAUCAAAGAGUUUGACUCAUCUAAGAGACACAAAUGGUGCUGUCAUAACUUAUUUGUGUGUAGCGUGACAAACAUUUUAAUCUUAUGCCAGAUUAUGUGAAACAUUACACUGACUAUGAUGUUUUAGUGUGUUACGUAACGCUCACUGUGAAAUGCCAGAGUCACGGAUAGCUGGUUUGCCAGUGUGGCUUGCAAAGAUGAUGAAAUGUAAUUAAACAGGGCAGGGUCUUGCGGCCGCCGAAAGGUCUCACAUCAUGUGGGUAGCUGGUGUGAAAAGCUUCAUAGAUGCCUUAUAUUGUUAUUUAGUAUAAAAAAGUUAUUUCAUUAUAUAUUAUAGAGUCAAUAUCCUGAAUAUAUACACAACUCUUUUUUUUUUUUUUUUUUUUUUUACAAUUUUGGGGAAAAAAUAGUGUUUUCAAUCACCAAAACAAGGAAAGUUUAAUACAACUAAAAAAUUCACACAUUAGAAUGCAAAAAAUAAAUAAAAUAAGGGACAUUGUUGUAAAUUUUUACAAUAA